AUGGAUCACUAUCAUGUAACAGCUGCAGCAUCACAACACAGAGAGGUUUUUGUACCAGCAGUAAUAGGGAUUGUAUCACUGUGGUGGACUUUUGGUAGCGGCACCAGACUUGAUGUUGGAAGCAACAGAGUCCCAACCCUCACCGUCCUGCCCCCCUCUAGUGAGGAGCUGUCCAGUACAACAACAGCCACACUGACGUGUCUGGCCAACAAGGGCUUCCCCUCAGACUGGACCAUGAGCUGGAAAGUGGAUGGGACCAGCAAGAAGCAGGAGACCAGUCCCGGGGUCCUGGAGAAGGACGGCCUGUACAGCUGGAGCAGCACACUGACUCUCACUGCCCAGGAGUGGACCAAGGCAGGAGAGGUGACCUGUGAAGCCCAGCAGAAAUCCCAGACUCCAGUCACCAAGACCCUGAGGAGGGCUGACUGUUCUGGGUAGGACCCCUCAGUCACACAGCCCUGUGGAGAGAGGCUGCUGGUUCCUCUGCUUUGACUAGCUUUGUUCUAAAAUCAGUCGUUCUCAGAUUUAGUGAUCAUUCUGGUGUAGACUAACAGGGGGCUUGGCUUGAAUUCAUGUGUCAAUCCAUUCUGUAGAUUGAUAUUUUGUUAGUUUUAGAUUUGAUGUGAUCUGCUUUAUUCACUAUCAUGUUUGCUUUGAUGCUUCGAUUGUGUGAUAAUGGAUUAAAAUAAAGAUUUCUUUUUGGAAUGCA
This is a non-coding RNA of Coregonus clupeaformis (lake whitefish), 709 nucleotides long. The record is from the annotation of a RefSeq genome assembly. NCBI's taxonomy places the organism in Eukaryota, Metazoa, Chordata, Actinopteri, Salmoniformes, Salmonidae.